AAAACUUUCAACAACGGAUCUCUUGGUUCUGGCAUCGAUGAAGAACGCAGCGAAAUGCGAUAAGUAAUGUGAAUUGCAGAAUUCAGUGAAUCAUCGAAUCUUUGAACGCACAUUGCGCCCGUCAGUAUUCUGGCGGGCAUGCCUGUUCGAGCGUCAUU
Molecule: ribosomal RNA, 158 nt
Filed under: Metarhizium anisopliae
Lineage: Eukaryota; Fungi; Ascomycota; Sordariomycetes; Hypocreales; Clavicipitaceae
Also listed under: 1 other name
Description: 5.8S ribosomal RNA
Rfam family: 5.8S ribosomal RNA
About the family: 5.8S ribosomal RNA (5.8S rRNA) is a component of the large subunit of the eukaryotic ribosome.
Source: RNAcentral